Molecule: ribosomal RNA, 506 nt
Filed under: uncultured bacterium
Lineage: Bacteria
Description: bacterial SSU rRNA
Rfam family: Bacterial small subunit ribosomal RNA
Source: RNAcentral
AUGGCUCAGGAUGAACGCUGGCGGCGUGCUUAACACAUGCAAGUCGAACGAAUUACUUAAAAGAAGUCUUCGGAUGGAAAAUAAAGUAGUUAGUCGGCGGGACGGGUGACGUAACGCGUGGGAAACCUGCCCUAUACAGGGGGAUACGCCUCGGGAAACCGGGAUUAAUACCCCAUAAAGCUCUAGAAUCGGCAUGAUUCAAGAGUCAAAACUCCGGUGGUAUAGGGAUGGUCCCCGCGUCCCAUUAGCUAGUUGGUGAGGUAACGGCCCACCAAGGCGACGAUGGGUAGCCGGCCUGAGAGGGUGAACGGCCACACUGGAACUGAGACACGGUCCGGACUCCUACGGGAGGCAGCAGUGGGGAAUAUUGCAACCAAUGGGGGAAACCCUGAUGCAGCGACGCCGCGUGAGCGAAGAAGGCCUUCGGGUCGUAAAGCUCUGUCCUAAGGGAAGAAAAAGACGGUACCUUAGGAGGAAGCCCCGGCUAACUACGUGCCAGCCGCCGC